AUUGCCUUAAAAUUUGGCUAAUUUACUUCGCAUUUUGCUAUUUUGAAUGCGAAAAGUAAAAUGCAAUGCCUGGCUAGACAAAGAAAACAGUAUUUCAAAGGCAAAAAAAGUUACAUCUCAUGAAAAACAAAUUUUAAUUCCUUAUUGUAAUUACUUUAUUCUCAUGCAAAGCAAAAUUCAUAUAUUUAUCAAGUAUACUUAUUUAUUUUAAGUAUUACAUUUUUUUUUUAUUUCAAGCAAAAUAAAAAUUCAUAUGGAUAACAUUUUAGGAAGUAAGAAACAAGCUAACCAAAUGG
This 296-nucleotide unclassified non-coding RNA is filed under the name Hevea brasiliensis (rubber tree). Lineage: Eukaryota; Viridiplantae; Streptophyta; Magnoliopsida; Malpighiales; Euphorbiaceae. The record is from RNAcentral.